AGUGAACGCUGGCGGUAUGCCUAACACAUGCAAGUCGAACGGCAGCACAGAGGAGCUUGCUCCUUGGGUGGCGAGUGGCGGACGGGUGAGGAAUACAUCGGAAUCUACUCUGUCGUGGGGGAUAACGUAGGGAAACUUACGCUAAUACCGCAUACGACCUACGGGUGAAAGCAGGGGACCUUCGGGCCUUGCGCGAUUGAAUGAGCCGAUGUCGGAUUAGCUAGUUGGCGGGGUAAAGGCCCACCAAGGCGACGAUCCGUAGCUGGUCUGAGAGGAUGAUCGGCCACACGGGAACUGAGACACGGUCCAGACUCCUACGGGAGGCAGCAGUGGGGAAUAUUGGACAAUGGGCGCAAGCCUGAUCCAGCCAUACCGCGUGGGUGAAGAAGGCCUUCGGGUUGUAAAGCCCUUUUGUUGGGAAAGAAAUCCAGCUGGCUGAUACCCGGUUGGGAUGACGGUACCCAAGGAAUAAGCACCGGCUAACUUCGUGCCAGCCGCCGCGGUAA
RNAcentral lists this ribosomal RNA (506 nucleotides) under uncultured bacterium. RNAcentral describes it as "partial 16S ribosomal RNA". It matches the Rfam family "Bacterial small subunit ribosomal RNA", at positions 29 to 523 of the family's 1533-position model. The record is from RNAcentral.